Molecule: transfer RNA, 73 nt
Filed under: Marmota monax (woodchuck)
Lineage: Eukaryota; Metazoa; Chordata; Mammalia; Rodentia; Sciuridae
Description: tRNA.Val
Source: RNAcentral
UGAGAGUACAGCUCAGUGGUAGAGUGCUUGUCUCACAUGUGCAAGAGCCUCAGUUCAAUCCCCAAUACCACAA